RNAcentral lists this ribosomal RNA (600 nucleotides) under uncultured bacterium. RNAcentral's name for it is "bacterial SSU rRNA". It matches the Rfam family "Bacterial small subunit ribosomal RNA", at positions 739 to 1339 of the family's 1533-position model. The record is from RNAcentral.
ACUGACGCUGAGGCGCGAAAGUGUGGGGAGCAAACAGGAUUAGAUACCCUGGUAGUCCACACUGUAAACGAUGAAUGCCAGGUGUUGGAGGUAUCGACCCCUUCAGUGCCGGAGUCAACACAAUAAGCAUUCCGCCUGGGGAGUACGGCCGCAAGGUUGAAACUCAAAGGAAUUGACGGGGGCCCGCACAAGCAGCGGAGCAUGUGGUUUAAUUCGACGCAACGCGAAGAACCUUACCAGGUCUUGACAUCCAUUUAAAGCUGCGGAGACGCAGUGUAAGCUUGCUCGAAAUGAGACAGGUGGUGCAUGGUUGUCGUCAGCUCGUGUCGUGAGAUGUUGGGUUAAGUCCCGCAACGAGCGCAACCCUUGCCUGCAGUUGCUAACGCGCAGUGGCGAGAACUCUGCAGGGACUGCCGGGGACAACUCGGAGGAAGGUGGGGACGACGUCAAAUCAUCAUGCCCCUUAUGACCUGGGCUACACACGUGCUACAAUGGCCGUAACAAAGAGAAGCGAGCGCGCAAGCGUAAGCGGAUCUCAAAAAAGCGGUCUCAGUUCGGAUUGUGGGCUGCAACCCGCCCACAUGAAGUCGGAGUGCUAGU